CAGGCAGUAGCUUAGUGGUAGAGGUCCCGCUUGGUACGCGGGAAGAUCUGAGUUCAAUUCCCGGCUGCUUUC
RNAcentral lists this transfer RNA (72 nucleotides) under Toxocara canis (dog roundworm). It matches the Rfam family "tRNA". Rfam says of the family: Transfer RNA (tRNA) molecules are approximately 80 nucleotides in length. Lineage: Eukaryota; Metazoa; Nematoda; Chromadorea; Rhabditida; Toxocaridae. The record is from Rfam by way of RNAcentral.